Molecule: ribosomal RNA, 253 nt
Filed under: uncultured bacterium
Lineage: Bacteria
Description: partial 16S ribosomal RNA
Rfam family: Bacterial small subunit ribosomal RNA
Source: RNAcentral
UACGUAGGGGGCAAGCGUUAUCCGGAUUUACUGGGUGUAAAGGGAGCGUAGACGGCAGUGCAAGUCCGGAGUGAAAGCCCGGGGCUCAACCCUGGGUCUGCUCUGGAAACUGUAAAGCUGGAGUGCGGGAGGGGCAGGCGGAAUUCCUGGUGUAGCGGUGAAAUGCGUAGAUAUCAGGAGGAACACCGGCGGCGAAGGCGGCCUCCUGGACCGUAACUGACGUUGAGGCUCGAAAGCGUGGGGAGCAAACAGG